RNAcentral lists this ribosomal RNA (73 nucleotides) under Methanobacteriota archaeon. Its description in RNAcentral is "Euryarchaeota archaeon partial 16S ribosomal RNA". It matches the Rfam family "Archaeal small subunit ribosomal RNA", at positions 1 to 72 of the family's 1478-position model. The record is from RNAcentral. Lineage: Archaea; Methanobacteriati; Methanobacteriota.
AAAUCCGGUUGAUCCUGCCGGAGGCUACCGCUAUUGGAGUUCGAUUAAGCCAUGCGAGUCGCGAGUCUUAGGG